This 101-nucleotide small nucleolar RNA is filed under the name Aureobasidium melanogenum CBS 110374. RNAcentral's name for it is "Small nucleolar RNA Z13/snr52". It matches the Rfam family "Small nucleolar RNA Z13/snr52". From Rfam's summary of the family: Z13 or snr52 is a member of the C/D class of snoRNA which contain the C (UGAUGA) and D (CUGA) box motifs. Most of the members of the box C/D family function in directing site-specific 2'-O-methylation of substrate RNAs. The record is from Rfam by way of RNAcentral. Lineage: Eukaryota; Fungi; Ascomycota; Dothideomycetes; Dothideales; Saccotheciaceae.
UCUUUCGCUUUGAUGAAACAUUCCGGAUGUAAACCUUUGUCAAUUUCCGAGAGCGCAAAACCAAGUGGACACUUUCCGUUGCCUUCCUUCUGAGCCCCUAC